This 1875-nucleotide long non-coding RNA is filed under the name Aedes aegypti (yellow fever mosquito). RNAcentral describes it as "lncRNA AAEL024374". The stretch from base 1730 to 1773 matches the Rfam family "Histone 3' UTR stem-loop". Lineage: Eukaryota; Metazoa; Arthropoda; Insecta; Diptera; Culicidae. The record is from RNAcentral.
CUUCGCCAAUCGAUGAUAUCCGUAAUGGAUUGUCUUCUUAUUCUCGCAGUCGGGGCAUCUCUGCCGGUUGAGGGCACCGGCCUUCCUCCGGUGGAGCUCUGCCUUGUUCUGACACCAACAACAAGCACUGAUUACCUGCGUUGCGUUUGCGUGACGCAUCCACAGAUCCGACAGAGUUUGGAUUCCGCACAAGGGUUCUUCAACCCUUAAAUAGCCGCGUAUUCAAACUAGCCGAUCAUACGCUCCUUGCCUUCGUCACAUCCGUUCCAUCCAAGCAGUGUGGAAGAGGAAGUGAGAUUUGGCAGAUUACUGGUUCCGGUUCAAUCUUCUGAACCAACCGCGAAACCUUCGCCAAUCGAUGAUAUCCGUAAUGGAUUGUCUUCUUAUUCUCGCAGUCGGGGCAUCUCUGCCGGUUGAGGGCACCGGCCUUCCUCCGGUGGAGCUCUGCCUUGUUCUGACACCAACAACAAGCACUGAUUACCUGCGUUGCGUUUGCGUGACGCAUCCACAGAUCCGACAGGGUUUGGAUUCCGCACAAGGGUUCUUCAACCCUUAAAUAGCCGCGUAUUCAAACUAGCCGAUCAUACGCUCCUUGCCUUCGUCACAUCCGUUCCAUCCAAGCAGUGUGGAAGAGGAAGUGAGAUUUGGCAGAUUACUGGUUCCGGUUCAAUCUUCUGAACCAACCGCGAAACCUUCGCCAAUCGAUGAUAUCCGUAAUGGAUUGUCUUCUUAUUCUCGCAGUCGGGGCAUCUCUGCCGGUUGAGGGCACCGGCCUUCCUCCGGUGGAGCUCUGCCUUGUUCUGACACCAACAACAAGCACUGAUUACCUGCGUUGCGUUUGCGUGACGCAUCCACAGAUCCGACAGAGUUUGGAUUCCGCACAAGGGUUCUUCAACCCUUAAAUAGCCGCGUAUUCAAACUAGCCGAUCAUACGCUCCUUGCCUUCGUCACAUCCGUUCCAUCCAAGCAGUGUAGAAGAGGAAGUGAGAUUUGGCAGAUUACUGGUUCCGGUUCAAUCUUCUGAACCAACCGCGAAACCUUCGCCAAUCGAUGAUAUCCGUAAUGGAUUGUCUUCUUAUUCUCGCAGUCGGGGCAUCUCUGCCGGUUGAGGGCACCGGCCUUCCUCCGGUGGAGCUCUGCCUUGUUCUGACACCAACAACAAGCACUGAUUACCUGCGUUGCGUUUGCGUGACGCAUCCACAGAUCCGAUAGAGUUUGGAUUCCGCACAAGGGUUCUUCAACCCUUAAAUAGCCGCGUAUUCAAACUAGCCGAUCAUACGCUCCUUGCCUUCGUCACAUCCGUUCCAUCCAAGCAGUGUGGAAGAGGAAGUGAGAUUUGGCAGAUUACUGGUUCCGGUUCAAUCUUCUGAACCAACCGCGAAACCUUCGCCAACCGAUGAUAUCCGUAAUGGAUUGUCUUCUUAUUCUCGCAGUCGGGGCAUCUCUGCCGGUUGAGGGCACCGGCCUUCCUCCGGUGGAGCUCUGCCUUGUUCUGACACCAACAAGCACUGAUUACCUGCGUUGCGUUUGCGUGACGCAUCCACAGAUCCGACAGAGUUUGGAUUUCGUCAGUCAGUGAUCUGUCUGGCCCUCAUCGACUCUGCCUUGUUGAUCAUCACUGAUUAUAGCCCACACGAAAAUCGACCCUUGAACUUGUUUGGAAUAAUAUUCCCUGUUGAAUAUCAUAGUCGAUGGAUUAAUUCUAUCGGUGUUGCAGUUUUGACCUAAACAAACGGCCCUUUUCAGGGCCACCAAUAUGUUAAAGAGUUGACGAAUAAAUAUAUUCCCUAGCAAAUAAAUUAUAAACCCAAAACUGCUGCACAAUAUCGUACCCUAAAUGUUACAAAUACGUAAUUAGAAAUUAUAAAUGUUGAG